RNAcentral lists this ribosomal RNA (292 nucleotides) under uncultured bacterium. RNAcentral's name for it is "partial 16S ribosomal RNA". It matches the Rfam family "Bacterial small subunit ribosomal RNA", at positions 8 to 290 of the family's 1533-position model. The record is from RNAcentral.
AGAGUUUGAUCCUGGCUCAGGACGAACGCUGGCGGCGUGCCUAACACAUGCAAGUCGAACGGACUGAUUUGAGAGCUUGCUCUUGAAGAAAGUUAGUGGUGGACGGGUGAGUAACGCGUGAGUAACCUGCCUUUCAGAGGGGGAUAACAUCCUGAAAAGGAUGCUAAUACCGCAUAACAUCUUAGUAUCGCAUGGUACUGAGAUCAAAGGAGCAAUCCGCUGAGAGAUGGACUCGCGUCUGAUUAGCUAGUUGGCGGGGUAAAGGCCCACCAAGGCGACGAUCGGUAGCCGG